RNAcentral lists this transfer RNA (73 nucleotides) under Felis catus (domestic cat). It matches the Rfam family "tRNA". From Rfam's summary of the family: Transfer RNA (tRNA) molecules are approximately 80 nucleotides in length. Their secondary structure includes four short double-helical elements and three loops (D, anti-codon, and T loops). Lineage: Eukaryota; Metazoa; Chordata; Mammalia; Carnivora; Felidae. RNAcentral also lists the same sequence under 4 other names. The record is from Rfam by way of RNAcentral.
ACCUGGCUGGCUCAGUUGGUAGAGCAUGUGGCUCUUGAUCUCAGGGUCAUGAACUUGAGUCCCAUGUUGGGUA